Molecule: non-coding RNA, 294 nt
Organism: Drosophila kikkawai
Lineage: Eukaryota; Metazoa; Arthropoda; Insecta; Diptera; Drosophilidae
Source: RefSeq, a predicted model, not a curated record
GCAGUACUGCAGCGUCAGUCUUAAUUCAGACCUCUUGCCGGGUGUAUCUCCGUGAAAGAUUGAUGGUGAAACUGGCAAAAAGCCUCAGUGAAAAGUGCUUAAGAUAAGCUACGUGAAAAACUUUUAAUCUGAAGUAAAGAAACCUCCAAGAGAAAGUGGUGACCAUGAAUUUGUUUUCACGCUUAAAACGCUUGGGCCAUGCUGCCAGCAAGAAUUCCGUGACUUUGCCUGUUACUGGUAAGUUGUUUUCAGAUUAAAUUUCGCGCCAAGCGAUUUUAUAUCAUUUGGCUUUUG